This 383-nucleotide ribosomal RNA is filed under the name uncultured eukaryote. RNAcentral describes it as "partial 18S ribosomal RNA". It matches the Rfam family "Eukaryotic small subunit ribosomal RNA", at positions 592 to 976 of the family's 1831-position model. The record is from RNAcentral.
CAAUAGCGUAUAUUUAAGUUGUUGCAGUUAAAAAGCUCGUAGUUGGAUUUCUGGUGGGAGCGAUCGGUCUGGCGCUUAGCGCGAGUACUUGCAUCGUCUCCGGCCAUCCUUGGGGAGAGUCUGUCUGGCAUUAAGUUGUCGGGCAGAGGAUCCUCAUCGUUUACUGUGAAAAAAUUAGAGUGUUCAAAGCAGGCUUAUGCCGUUGAAUAUAUUAGCAUGGAAUAAUAAGAUAGGACUUUGGUACUAUUUUGUUGGUUUGCGCACCAAAGUAAUGAUUAAUAGGGACAGUUGGGGGUAUUCGUAUUCCGUUGUCAGAGGUGAAAUUCUUGGAUUUACGGAAGACGAACUACUGCGAAAGCAUUUACCAAGGAUGUUUNCAUUAA